UAUCUCUGUAGAGUCUGCAUAUCAAUAAGCGGAGGAAAAGAAACUAACUAGGAUUCCCUCAGUAACGGCGAGUGAAGCGGGAAGAGCUCAAAUUUGAAAUCUUCAAGGUUCUACCUUGACGAAUUGUAGUUUAAAGAAGUGUUUUCUGUUGGAGUUUUGGUAAAAGUUCUUUGGAAUAGGACAUCAUAGAGGGUGAGAAUCCCGUAUUUGACCAUUAUUUCCAACUUUGUGAUACACUUUCAAAGAGUCGGAUUGUUUGGGAAUGCAGUCCAAAAUGGGUGGUAAAUUUCAUCUAAAGCUAAAUACUGGCGAGAGACCGAUAGCGAACAAGUACCGUGAGGGAAAGAUGAAAAGAACUUUGAAAAGAGAGUUAAACAGUACGUGAAAUUGUCAAAAGGGAAGCGUUUGACACCAGUGUUGUUUUCUCGAAAAUCAAUUAAAAAUGGCUGGAUUUUGUGUUGUAUUGACCUUAUAAGCUUUCUGCACUUUUUUCAUGUCUUUUUUAAUGCACUUUUCGUUUAACAAGUCAACAUCAAUUUCUUUUGUUGUAAAAGAGUCAUUGGAAGGUGGCUUUCACUUUCGGAUGAAAGUGUUUAUAGCCUUUGACUUCUGCAAUCGGAGAGAUUGAGGUCUGCAGCGUAGAUCCUUCGGGGUUAGAUACGUAGAUGCUAAGUUAUAGUUUUUUAUAGACAACUUGUUGACUAUAAUUAAUCAUGUAGCUUACUCGUCUGCGCUAUUUUACCUACGCUUAGGAUGUUGAUCUCUCACAGUCGAGC
This 776-nucleotide ribosomal RNA is filed under the name uncultured Neocallimastigales. RNAcentral's name for it is "partial large subunit ribosomal RNA". It matches the Rfam family "Eukaryotic large subunit ribosomal RNA", at positions 24 to 645 of the family's 3401-position model. Lineage: Eukaryota; Fungi; Neocallimastigomycota; Neocallimastigomycetes; Neocallimastigales. The record is from RNAcentral.